RNAcentral lists this ribosomal RNA (495 nucleotides) under uncultured bacterium. RNAcentral describes it as "partial 16S ribosomal RNA". It matches the Rfam family "Bacterial small subunit ribosomal RNA", at positions 28 to 507 of the family's 1533-position model. The record is from RNAcentral.
GACGAACGCUGGCGGCGUGCCUAAUACAUGCAAGUAGAACGCUGAAGGAGGAGCUUGCUUCUCUGGAUGAGUUGCGAACGGGUGAGUAACGCGUAGGUAACCUGCCUGGUAGCGGGGGAUAACUAUUGGAAACGAUAGCUAAUACCGCAUAACAGUAGAUAUCGCAUGAUAUCUACUUGAAAGGUGCAAUUGCAUCACUACCAGAUGGACCUGCGUUGUAUUAGCUAGUUGGUGAGGUAACGGCUCACCAAGGCGACGAUACAUAGCCGACCUGAGAGGGGGAUCGGCCACACUGGGACUGAGACACGGCCCAGACUCCCACGGGAGGCAGCAGUAGGGAAUCUUCGGCAAUGGACGGAAGUCUGACCGAGCAACGCCGCGUGAGUGAAGAAGGUUUUCGGAUCGUAAAGCUCUGUUGUAAGAGAAGAACGAGUGUGAGAGUGGAAAGUUCACACUGUGACGGUAUCUUACCAGAAAGGGACGGCUAACUACGUG